Molecule: unclassified non-coding RNA, 214 nt
Filed under: Glomus sp.
Lineage: Eukaryota; Fungi; Glomeromycota; Glomeromycetes; Glomerales; Glomeraceae
Description: partial contains 5.8S ribosomal RNA and internal transcribed spacer 2
Rfam family: 5.8S ribosomal RNA (bases 1-71)
Source: RNAcentral
GUGAAUCAUCAAAUCUUUGAACGCACAUUGCGCUCCCUGGUAUUCCGGAGAGUAUGCCUGUUUGAGGGUCAGUUUUAAUCUAAAUCGGUGCUGUUGCUUCCUUUUGUGGUGACGCCCCAGAUUUGGGUCGUCCUGCCUUCGGUUAAGUGACCUUAAUUUUUGCAUGAUUUUUUUCGAACGUUUUUAAUUUAUUUUACGUACGUUUGCGACAUUA